RNAcentral lists this ribosomal RNA (512 nucleotides) under uncultured bacterium. RNAcentral describes it as "partial 16S ribosomal RNA". It matches the Rfam family "Bacterial small subunit ribosomal RNA", at positions 29 to 507 of the family's 1533-position model. The record is from RNAcentral.
ACGCACGCUGGCGGCGUGCUUCACCCCUGCCAGUCGCACGCAAAGAGGGAAAGAGCUUGCUCUUUCCGGAAUUGAGUGGCAAACGGGUGAGUAACACGUAAACAACCUGCCUUCAGGAUGGGGACAACAGACGGAAACGACUGCUAAUACCGAAUAAGUUCCAAGAGCCGCAUGGCCCAUGGAAGAAAAGGUGGCCUCUACCUGUAAGCUAUCGCCUGAAGAGGGGUUUGCGUCUGAUUAGCUGGUUGGAGGGGUAACGGCCCACCAAGGCGACGAUCAGUAGCCGGUCUGAGAGGAUGAACGGCCACACUGGAACUGAGACACGGUCCAGACUCCUACGGGAGGCAGCAGUGGGGAAUCUUCCGCAAUGGGCGAAAGCCUGACGGAGCAACGCCGCGUGAGUGAUGACGGCCUUCGGGUUGUAAAACUCUGUGAUCCGGGACGAAAAGGCAGAGUGCGAAGAACAAACUGCAUUGACGGUACCGGAAAAGCAAGCCACGGCUAACUACGUG